UUGGAGUUCUCUAAGCUCCAUAUUUUAAACCUGAACACCUGAAGUUUGAUUAUUAAUUAUUUUUAUCUUCAUUCUCUUUCCUUUUUUCAGAUUGUAUAAAUGCAGUUUGUCAGAGAUCAGCUGUUCUUCUCUGGCCUCAGCUCUGAAGUCCAACCCCUCCCAUCUGAGAUAUCUGGACCUGAGUCACAACAAGCUGCAGGAUUCAGGAGUGAAGCUUCUCUCUGCAGGACUGGAGAGUCCAAACUGUAAACUGGAGACUCUGAGGUGAGACACCAUUUCCUUCUGAUCUAACAAUAAGAUGUGACAGCUGCUGCCUUAGAUUUUUCUCUGUGGUUUUUCCAUCAACUUUGGUCGAGCAGUUUGAAUUUGUCGUUGUAAAACUUCAACACAGGAAGAAAAAUCCGACAUUUCAGAGUCGACUUUGAGUAGAACGAUGGAUGUAGAAAGGAAGCAGGAGAAAAUCAGUCCCACAAAUAUUACACAUGCUUGUAGAGGGCAGGAGCAGCACAGACUAAAGGCUGAUACUGAACUGAUCCACAGUUAAUGUGAUCACUAAUGAAUGAAGUGUCAGAGAAAUGAUGAGCUGCAGAUUGAAACCUGAAGAACAAAGUUAAUCCAACUCUGGAUAUUUCAUUUGGAAACUCUUGAAAACUUGAAUUUCUUCUUUGCUCAGUCGUGUUCAAAUGUAAAAACCAGAUCCAGAUUUGUCUGCAGUUUUCACUUCAGUUUGUUGAACAUGAACAUCAUCUUGUCCAGCUGGUCCAUAAAAACCUCUCUGAUCAAUGAUCUGUUGGUUUAUUUAAGAGUAGUUUGGCAGUUGUUGACAGCAGACGGACAGACCCCUGAAUAAACUCCUGACUAUUUUCAUCUUCAUGAAGAAUUCAGGACUACAAAAGAACCUUUGAGAUUUCUCACAGGAGUUUCUCAGGAUCUCACUAAAGUUUUCUGUUUCUGUAAAAUUUUCUCGACUGAUAAAUUCCUCUGGAUCUUCAAAAAGUUUAGAGAGGAUUUUACAAAGUUCCUGAAGAUCAACUCUGAAAAAGUUCUUCUUCCGUGUCCUUCAGGGUUCAAGAACAUUGAAUCAUUAAAAACAGGAACAGUUUCUUCAGAGGUUACAUGAUUUUUUUCUUUUUUCAGACUGUGACAGGUGUUUAUUAGUCUUUUUGACUCAUUACAAUAAUGAGGAUAAAGUCAUGGACUAAACUUGGGCUCCCAGUUUCCUUGUUGUUGUUUCUUCAGCUAGCAUCAUUGUUUUCAUCUCAGUUAUUAAAGUAAUAAUGAUGCUUCAUAAAUUCAGAGUCACAAAAAAACACCAAACAAACCAAAUCUGAAAAAAAUUCACUUCUUCAUCAAAUGAGUUUAAUCGGUCAGAACAUGAGGUUUGAGUUUUCAUGAGGAGGAAACGAGAAAGAUCUGCUCUGACAGUGAGAAACACAGACGCCUGAAUCUACACUGACAGACAGACAAACACAGACAGAGAGACAGACACACAAACACAGACACACAGAGAUUUUCCUCUUUGUCUCUUUGCUGUGAUGACUGAAGUCACAAAAACAAAGUUUUCUUCGUCACUUUUAUGAUUGAACCAAAGAAGUUAAAGAACCAAACUCUCAGAUUUUGUUCUUCUCAAUUUUAUUUGAACCAUUUAGAUUUUUCUCCUGAUCAAUAUUCAAUGAUCAGAUUGAUCAGGUUCCUGUUUUGGCUCCACUGCCUCUUUUCUGCAGCUCAAUAACUGCUCAUAUGGUUUGAAAGGUUCCUGCAGUAAAACCCGAUUAGAGAGUGGACUAAAUGAAAUGUGAGUGAACUCAGCCAUCAGUGAAUCAAUGACAAAGUGAGAGGAAGAGUGGAUCUGUCUGCUGUCUGACCUUGUUGAUCCUGAUGAAGGUGAGGGAGAAGAGUAAAGCAGUAAAGGUGAUGUUGUUGCAGACAGAGUCAGCUGACCUGUCUCAUCAGAGUCUCAUCCAUUCUCUGUUUAGCAGAGCGCUGAUGUUACAGUCUGAGAGCACAUUCAGGUUCAGCUUCACAUGGGCUGGAUCUGCUCAAUACAAACUCUUGAGACCAGCCUGGUUGAGGGAGGUGGGCUCAGUGUCCUGGGUGACUCUCUCUGAGCUCUUCUUGGUUGAGAGUCUUUCUGGUUUGUCUCUGACUUCCAUGAACUCAGAUCUGGAGGAUUGCUGGCUGGUCCGGUCCAGUUCUGACAGUAGAGACAACACAGUCAGUUAUUCUGGGUUGAGUGUUCUUGUUGAAGAUCAGUGUACAGUGAGGGAUGAAGGCAGACAAAGAUCCUCCUGUUUCCUCCAUGUCACAGUUCAAGUUCAUUUUGAAGACUUUGAUUGAUCCGAGCGCUGAAGAGGAACAGGAAACGAGGAGUAGAGAGUGAGGGAGGACUUACAGCAAAGGAUCAUGGGAGUCCAACCAGAAACUGCUGCAACAAGGACUCCACCUUCUGAUCACCUGAACCUCUAAUCCAAACCAGUGCUCCAUCACAUUUGAUGUCUUGUCUGUUAUUUUACAUGGAGGGUCAGAGCAGACCAGAUCAUGAGCUCUGACAGACUGGAUCUGGUCCAAAGGUCUCCUGUUGGAGUUCUCGAAGCUCCAUAUUUUAAUCCUGAACACCUGAAGUUUGAUUAUUAAUUAUUUUUAUCUUCAUUCUCUUUCCUUUUUUCAGAUUGUAUAAAUGCAGUUUGUCAGAGAUCAGCUGUUCUUCUCUGGCCUCAGCUCUGAAGUCCAACCCCUCCCAUCUGAGACAUCUGAACCUGAGAAACAACACUCUGCAGGAUUCAGGAGUGAAGCUUCUCUCUGCAGGACUGCAGAGACCAAACUGCAGACUGGAGACUCUGAAGUGAGACACCAUUUCCUUCUGAUCUAACAAUAAGAUGUGACAGCUGCUGCCUUAGAUUUUUCUCUGUGGUUUUUCCAUCAACUUUGGUCGAGCAGUUUGAAUUUGUCGUUGUAAAACUUCAACACAGGAAGAAAAAUCCGACAUUUCAGAGUUGACUUUGAGGAGAACGAUGGAUGUAGAAAGGAAGCAGGAGAAAAUCAGUCCCACAAAUAUUACACAUGCUUGUAGAGGGCAGGAGCAGCACAGACUAAAGGCUGAUAUUGAACUGAUCCACAGUUAAUGUGAUCACUAAUGAAUGAAGUGUCAGAGAAAUGAUGAGCUGCAGAUUGAAACCUGAAGAACAAAGUUAAUCCAACUCUGGAUAUUUCAUUUGGAAACUCUUGAAAACUUGAAUUUCUUCUUUGCUCAGUCGUGUUCAAAUGUAAAAACCAGAUCCAGAUUUGUCUGCAGUUUUCACUUCAGUUUGUUGAACAUUAACAUCAUCUUGUCCAGUUGGUCCAUAAAAACCUCUCUGAUCAAUGAUCUGUUGGUUUAUUUAAGAGUAGUUUGGCAGUUGUUGACAGCAGACGGACAGACCCCUGAAUAAACUCCUGACUGUUUUCAUCUUCAUGAAGAAUUCAGGACUACAAAAGAACCUUUGAGAUUUCUCACAGGAGUUUCUCAGGAUCUCACUAAAGUUUUCUGUUUCUUUAAAAUUUUCUCGACUGAUAAAUUCCUCUGGAUCUUCAAAAAGUUUAGAGAGGAUUUUACAAAGUUCCUGAAGAUCAACUCUGAAAAAGUUCUUCUUCCGUGUCCUUCAGGGUUCAAGAACAUUGAAUCAUUAAAAACAGGAACAGUUUCUUCAGAGGUUACAUGAUUUUUUUCUUUUUUCAGACUGUGACAGGUGUUUAUUAGUCUUUUUGACUCAUUACAAUAAUGAGGAUAAAGUCAUGGACUAAACUUGGGCUCCCAGUUUCCUUGUUGUUGUUUCUUCAGCUAGCAUCAUUGUUUUCAUCUCAGUUAUUAAAGUAAUAAUGAUGCUUCAUAAAUUCAGAGUCACAAAAAAACACCAAACAAACCAAAUCUGAAAAAAAUUCACUUUUUCAUCAAAUGAGUUGAAUCGGUCAGAACAUGAGGUUUGAGUUUUCAUGAGGAGGAAACGAGAAAGAUCUGCUCUGACAGUUAGAAACACAGACGCCUGAAUCUACACUGACAGACAGACAAACACAGACAGAGAGACAGACACACAAACACAGACACACAGAGAUUUUCCUCUUUGUCUCUUUGCUGUGAUGACUGAAGUCACAAAAACAAAGUUGUAUUCGUCACUUUUAUGAUUGAACCAAAUAAGUUAAAGAACCAAACUCAUAGAUUUUCUUCUUCUCAAUAUUAUUUGAACCAUUUUGAUUUUUCUUCUGAUCAAUAUUCAAUGAUCAGAUUGAUCAGGUUCCUGUUUUGGCUCCACUGCCUCUUUUCUGCAGCUCAAUAACUGCUCAUAUGGUUUGAAAGGUUCCUGCAGUAAAACCCGAUUAGAGAGUGGACUAAAUGAAAUGUGAGUGAACUCAGCCAUCAGUGAAUCAAUGACAAAGUGAGAGUAAGAGUGGAUCUGUCUGCUGUCUGACCUUGUUGAGCCUGAUGAAGGUGAGGGAGAAGAGUAAAGCAGUAAAGGUGAUGUUGUUGCAGACAGAGUCAGCUGACCUGUCUCAUCAGAGUCUCAUCCAUUCUCUGUUUGGCAGAGCACUGAUGUUAGAGUCUGAGAGCACAUUCAGGUUCAGCUUCACAUGGGCUGGAUCUGCUCAAUACAAACUCUUGAGACCAGCCUGGUUGAGGGAGGUGGGCUCAGUGUCCUGGGUGACUCUCUCUGAGCUCUUCUUGGUUGAGAGUCUUUCUGGUUUGUCUCUGACUUCCAUGAACUCAGAUCUGGAGGAUUGCUGGCUGGUCCGGUCCAGUUCUGACAGUAGAGACAACACAGUCAGUUAUUCUGGGUUGAGUGUUCUUGUUGAAGAUCAGUGUACAGUGAGGGAUGAAGGCAGACAAAGAUCCUCCUGUUUCCUCCAUGUCACACUUCAAGUUCAUUUUGAAGACUUUGAUUGAUCCGAGCGCUGAAGAGGAACAGGAAACGUGGAGUAGAGAGUGAGGGAGGACUUACAGCAAAGGAUCAUGGGAGUCCAACCAGCAACUGCUGCAACAAGGACUCCACCUUCUGAACACCUGAACCUCUAAUCCAAACCAGUGCUCCAUCACAUUUGAUGUCUUGUCUGUUAUUUUACAUGGAGGGUCAGAGCAGACCAGAUAAUGAGCUCUGACAGACUGGAUCUGGUCCAAAGGUCUCCUGUUGGAGUUCUCUAAGCUCCAUAUUUUAAACCUGAACACGUGAAGUUUGAUUAUUAAUUAUUUUUAUCUUCAUUCUCUUUCCUUUUUUCAGACUGAGGAGCUGCAGUUUGUCAGAGAUCAGCUGUUCUUCUCUGGCCUCAGCUCUGAAGUCCAACCCCGACCAUCUGAAACAUCUGGACCUGAGCAGAAACAAUCUGCAGGAUUCAGGAGUGAAGCUGCUGUGUGACUCUCUGCAGAGUCCAAACUGUAAACUGGAGACUCUAGAGUGAGACUUUUUUCCUCCAUUCAAACAUGAUCAUGAUUUGUUUGUGAUGAUGACACUAAACUGCUGACUCAGGACUGAAACACUGACCCAGACUGAACACCUUCAGUCCAGAGUAGAUUUUCUGCUUCAGUGGAUUAUUUGAUUGACUCCAGUUAGAUCACUGCUGAGCUCCAGUGAAUUAAAACCUGAACCCAAGAAGAAAACUCUUUGUAGAGUUCACAGUGAGAAGCACAUUCAGACAGAAAACAGAAGCAGGGGGAGAUUUGUCAGACGAGAACCAUUCAAACUUUAGUUCAGGACAAGAAAUGGAAAAAACUCAGAGUUUAGUUUCUGACUCUGAUGAAAGUCCAGCUCUGUUACUUUGAAUUUUGUUUUUGAAUCUUUGUGUGAAAAUCUGAAUUUUCUGGUUUAUCUGCACUUUUCUGAAGCCUUGCUGUGUUUAGACUGAAAUAUUUACCUCUCAAAGACGUGAUAUUUUUGGUUCAGCAAAGUGAAAAUAUUCUGAACAUCCUUUGUUUCCCAUCCGUCCUGAAGUCGCUGACAUUUUCUGAAAAUAUUGAGCUGCAUCUACAAUCAGUAAAAAAGUCUCUGAGUUUUUUAUUUCACUAUUUAAUGUGUUUUUGAAUUCAGUGUUUCAAACUGACUUCCUGUUUGGUUCAGCUCUUUGGAGCGUCACUUUUCUUUGAUUCAUACUUUCCAAACCUUUCCCCUGAACUCUACAGAUUUAAGACAUCAGGUUUCAAACUGGAUCAUUUUUCUCUAAAAUCUCAUUAUUUCCUCUUUAUUUAGGUUGUGGCGCUGCAGUUUGACGAAGAUCAGCUGUUCUUCUCUGGCCUCAGCUCUGAAGUCCAACCCCUCCCAUCUGAAAACUCUGUGGCUGUAUGGAAACAAUCUGCAGGGUUCAGACGUGGAGCUGCUGUGUGAUCUUCAGAAGAGUCCAGACUACAGACUGGAGGAUCUGGAGUCAGUAUAGAGUUGGAGUUAGUCUGUGCUGAUCUCUCCUGUUCCUCUCCACACAGUAUCACAGCAGAUAUUCAGUAUUUCCUGCUGACUCUUCGACCCUCUCAGAGGAUUAUCUCUUUAGUGAAGCUGUGAGAACAGAAAUCAUCAAACCAGGAGUGUAAGAGUGUCAGUGAUGAAAAAAGUGUCUCCUCGUCUCUAUAUUUCAGAUCAAAUGUAGAAAUGAGACAUAAUGAAACAGAAAUGUUCAGUUUCUGCUCUGAAGUCCAGUUUAUAGUUCUCUGUAUUCAACACAGACUUUAUUUCUCUGCUAACUUGUUGAUUUUGAGCUCUAAGUCUGAAAACAGACAGCUGUUCUUUAUACUUGUUAUUUUCACAGCAGGUUUGUUCGAUCAGCUUUAACACAUUUGACAGGAAUGAUUUCUUUAUUUUGAUGAUGUUGGUUUAUUUGUGAGGAAACCUGCUGCUUUACACCAUCACUUCUGGUCUGAGCAGGACUGAGACCUGCUGGUCUGUAAACUGGAUGUUCUUCAGUCCAGCUGAUGAAGUGAGUCUCAGAGUGGAAACACUGAACGUCUUUUUUUCUCUCCUCAGAUGGAGUUAACAUCUGUCAGAGUGAAUAAGAAGAGGAUCGUGUGUUUCCUGACGAUCAGAGAGGUGGAGGCAGCAGCAGUGAGGGUGAGGUGAGUCUCUGACUGAGAGACUGACUGACCAAUCACAGCGGGCGGAGAGGACUCUGGGAGCUGCACUUUGACCUGCUCUGAGAUCAGCUCAGGACCUGGACUCUGGAUAUUUGAUAUUUUCCCUCAUACUCUGGGAUCAAACAGUCUGAACAGGUUUGUUUUGUUGAUGGAAACAUGAUCAUAAAUUUACACUUUGAUUGGAUUACUUUGUUUUCACCAUGAUGCAGCGCCACCCAGUGGAAAUAUAAAGAGGUGGAGUUGAUUUAUUCCCUCAUAUUUCUGCAGCAGGAGUUGAUACCAUGUGUGAGAGUAGAUCAGUCAGAAGUUCAGAUUAAACCCAAAGGUUUUUUCUUUCCUUUGCACCGUUAGAGACCGAAUAUAAACUGAAGGGAGAGGAAGAGAAGUGAGGAGAGAUGGAGGUGAAGGGAGGAGGAGGAGGACAGGGUUUGGGGUUUUAACAAAAAUCUGAAGCUUUAUUCUUUCACUUGAUUAUUUUUAUUCAUCCGUUUUCUUCUUCAUUUUCUGAACUGAUUGUAAAUAUUGACUGGAGGUAAAUUGACCUUAUUUUAUAUUAUUAGACAUUAUUUUCCGUCUCUUUACAUGUUUUUGUUCUCAUAUCAUCUUUGUGCUCAUCAAUAAUCGAUUCCCUCCAGUUUGAACAAAUACAAUUAUUAAACCAUAAAUGAGACCUGAGAGUAAAAUUAAAAUGUGUGAAAUAUAAUCAGUCAAAGGAAAGAUUCUUAAACAAAAACAAAAUCAUUAUUUUUACUUUAUUAUGAUGGAGAAGUUUUCCUCUGACAGACAAAAAUAACCAUAUUGACCGGAGUCUGGAAAAAGUGAGAUCAGCAUCUAUUCAGGGUGAAGUCAUUAAUGUGGUCGAUGCUGUUUUAUAAACUCAGUGUUGUUGAUUACAAUCUCAGCUUCAUAAACUGAUGCUACAGUGGAGUGACUUCCUGUAAAAUCCACUGGCUUUGUGAGACCGUCAGCUUUCAGGAGAUCAGUUUGUGUUUCUGUGACACUCCAAAGCUUUUCUAUCCCACAGAAAAGAUCGGUGUGUUUUCAGAGACCUUCCUGAUCCCAUCCCUCCAAAAUAAAAAUAAUCUGAUGGUUUAUGGAUUCAUUUCAGUAACAAAGUGUCAUUUCUGUUGUUAGCCAAUCAGAGGCUGUAUCUGCCAUCAGCUGACCUGUAAAGGUCCAAUCAGAAGUCAGGACAGCUCAUGCCACAGUCUGAUCACACUACAGACACAUAAAACAUAGAACUAUUGUAAACAGAUUUGUCCUCUUCAGUUUAUCUACUAUCAAUAGAUCUGUGCUCUGUCUGUGUAACACUCUGUUGGUUCUUCAUUUACACCAGAUCAUUUUUUAUUUCAUUUCACUGUAACAAUGCCAUUUAAAGAUAAUAAAAACUUUAUUUGAACCAAAACAUGUUAAAAACGUCAACUCGGCUCGUUUCAUUCACUGUGUGCAAUUGAUUAUUAUUAUUUUUCAUUCAAACAGAAACUAGAUUUGGUCUUUAAAAAGUCCUCAAAGUGAGUCUGAAAAGUAGAGGAAGGUUUUAUCAUCAGGGUGCAGCACAGUUGUUUCCUGUGUUUUCAUUUGUGAUAUUCUCUCUAAGGUGUGUUAUUGUUCAUUUAAAGUAUGUGGAGGACAAAUCCACACAUCUAACAAAGAAGGUAAAAUAUAAAGAUAGGAGAUUUCUGCAUGACAUCAACGAUAUCCUGGAUUUAGUUUUCUAAGCAACAGGUGGUCGUCUUUUAUCGGGGGUACUUUGAUCCAGAAAUCUGAAAAGGGGUUACUAAAGCAAAAGAAGAAAAACCAGAGACUGUAUAUAGAAUGGACAGAGUCUGCCUCCUCGCUGGGUGAAGCCACUCUGAGAACAGCACCCUCUGUUGAUGGGCUGCAGUAUAGGUCAUAAAUCCCGCCUGCGCCAGCAAAGCUUAUGGAGCUGUGGACGAACUUUAGAAAUUUAUUACACAGAACAUAAUUUUUUCUCCCUCCUGGUUGUGAUGUUGACAUGUAGUUAUUGUCAGACUGGUUUGUGCUCAAGUCCUCUUUUUUCUGUGAAGCUCCAUUUUUAAAAGUUAUUAGGGGGUUCAUGUUUGCUAUGACGUUUCACAGCCAUAAGGAAUAACCAAUCGGAGCCUAGCACUUCUAGCCAAUCAGAUGCGAAGGAGGGUGGGACCUUCCCCUACCAUCCCACGAAAAAAAAAACCAAACACGUCCGGGUUUGCCGACCUUUAUUUCUGAGCCCCAGAUAACAGGACAGAGAUACCUAAAGCAUACAACGUGAACUUGUGUUAUCACAUCAACAUAUUUGGCUCCUACACUGAAUAUAAUGUUGGACAGUGAUCUUUGUAAAGUGAGGUGAAGGAGGAGUUUGUGUAGUGACAACACAAUCACACUGUGUGCAAAAAUAAAAACCUGUUCAACCAAAUCUUCACAUUUAGUUGGGGUAUGAGAAGAGGAGUGC
Molecule: long non-coding RNA, 9533 nt
Filed under: Xyrichtys novacula (pearly razorfish)
Lineage: Eukaryota; Metazoa; Chordata; Actinopteri; Labriformes; Labridae
Source: RNAcentral